Molecule: ribosomal RNA, 254 nt
Filed under: uncultured bacterium
Lineage: Bacteria
Description: partial 16S ribosomal RNA
Rfam family: Bacterial small subunit ribosomal RNA
Source: RNAcentral
UACGGGGGGAGCAAGCGUUGUUCGGAUUUACUGGGCGUAAAGGGCGCGUAGGCGGCCACCGCAAGUCAAUUGUGAAAUCUCCGGGCUUAACUCGGAAAGGUCAACUGAUACUGCGGGGCUAGAGUGCGGAAGGGGCAACUGGAAUUCUCGGUGUAGCGGUGAAAUGCGUAGAUAUCUGGAGGAACACCGGUGGCGAAGGCGGCAUCCUGGACCAUUACUGACACUGAAAAGCGAAAGCCAGGGGAGCAAACGGG